RNAcentral lists this ribosomal RNA (468 nucleotides) under uncultured bacterium. Its description in RNAcentral is "partial 16S ribosomal RNA". It matches the Rfam family "Bacterial small subunit ribosomal RNA", at positions 28 to 507 of the family's 1533-position model. The record is from RNAcentral.
GAUGAACGCUGGCGGCGUGCUUAACACAUGCAAGUCGAACGGUGAAGGCGGAGCUUGCUCUGCUGGAUCAGUGGCGAACGGGUGAGUAACACGUGAGCAAUCUGCCCCUGACUCUGGGAUAAGCGCUGGAAACGGCGUCUAAUACUGGAUACGAGCUGCGAAGGCAUCUUCAGCAGCUGGAAAGAACUUCGGUCAGGGAUGAGCUCGCGGCCUAUCAGCUUGUUGGUGAGGUAACGGCUCACCAAGGCGUCGACGGGUAGCCGGCCUGAGAGGGUGACCGGCCACACUGGGACUGAGACACGGCCCAGACUCCUACGGGAGGCAGCAGUGGGGAAUAUUGCACAAUGGGCGAAAGCCUGAUGCAGCAACGCCGCGUGAGGGACGACGGCCUUCGGGUGGUAAACCUCUUUUAGCAGGGAAGAAGCGAAAGUGACGGUACCUGCAGAAAAAGCGCCGGCUAACUACGUG